This 23-nucleotide unclassified non-coding RNA is filed under the name Mus musculus (house mouse). RNAcentral's name for it is "oocyte_clustered_small_RNA8394". Lineage: Eukaryota; Metazoa; Chordata; Mammalia; Rodentia; Muridae. The record is from RNAcentral.
UCCUGCCUUCAUGGUCACAUCAC